CUCAUUUUUCAGUCCGCACAUCUCAGCUUAUCCCUUCAAACCCUCAGACAAUGGAAAUCGCGGAUUCUUCUACGGUCUUGCUAUAAUGCUCGUGCCAUAGCCAUAAUCUCCUCAAUUACCUUGAAGUAUUUUUCUCAUUAUUUGUGGUGCUCAAGAAGAUGGAUAUUCGGCCAAGUCGUGGUUGGAUGUAUGAUAGACUAAAUUCAGAUCGAAGGGGAUAUACUGACGCAUUUUCACAGGUGUUUUUUUUUUCUUGAGGUAGUUUUAUGAACUUCAUGCACUUGGUUGUUGAAAGUGUUCUAAAUGACAUAGAGUCAUUGAAAUAGAUCAUUAUUUUGGGUCUCGUAGACACCAAACAUUAGUAUGUUUAUGUGUUUGGCCUGGUUCAUUUAAGUUUCUUUUCAGUGUUUGUCAUAUAGGAAGCAUGAACUGUUGUUUUCACUUGCUAUUAUUUGUUCAUUAUUUCCUGCAGGAUCAGGGUAAUGACACAAAUGAAGUGAACUAUUAUUUGCUCAUUAUUGCCGCCAUUUCUGGUUACAGAUUUGUUGAAGUUGAACUUCUUUUUGUAAAUUUACAUAACUAGAAAAUUUCUAAUAUGCAAAUUAAACAUGAAAUGUAUUAAGUUGGGGUAUACAAUUUGCUCAUCAUUCAUUUGAAUGCAAGCAAUUAAGAAGGUAGUUUUUAGGAGGACUAGUACAAAUCCAUUAUUAGUCUGUGA
Non-coding RNA from Cajanus cajan (pigeon pea), 718 nucleotides. The record is from RefSeq and is a predicted model, not a curated record. NCBI's taxonomy places the organism in Eukaryota, Viridiplantae, Streptophyta, Magnoliopsida, Fabales, Fabaceae.